MicroRNA precursor from Oryza sativa Japonica Group (Japanese rice), 207 nucleotides. It matches the Rfam family "MIR812 microRNA precursor family". The record is from Rfam. Lineage: Eukaryota; Viridiplantae; Streptophyta; Magnoliopsida; Poales; Poaceae.
AAUAAGUGCAGUUUUGCACUGUUCAUGUUCAACGUUUGACCGUUCGUCUUAUUUAAAAUUUUUUUUAUGAUUAGUAUUUUUAUUGCUAUUAGAUGAUAAAACAUGAAUAAUAUUUUGUGUGACUAAAUAUUUUUAAAUUUUUUAUAAAUUUUUCAAAUAAGACGGAUGGUCAAACGUUAGUCACGGAUAUCCACCGCUGUACUUAUU